This 357-nucleotide ribosomal RNA is filed under the name uncultured bacterium. Its description in RNAcentral is "bacterial SSU rRNA". It matches the Rfam family "Bacterial small subunit ribosomal RNA", at positions 28 to 386 of the family's 1533-position model. The record is from RNAcentral.
GAUGAACGCCAGCGGCAGGCCUAACACAUGCAAGUCGAGGGGCAGCACGUCUUCGGAUGGUGGCGACCGGCGCACGGGUGCGUAACGCGUAUGCAACCUACCUCUUACAGUGGGAUAGCCCAGAGAAAUUUGGAUUAAUACCGCAUAGUAUACAGAUUCAGCAUUGGGACUGUAUUAAACAUUUAUGGGUAAGAGAUGGGCAUGCGUUCUAUUAGUUAGUUGGAGUGGUAACGGCACCCCAAGACAGCGAUAGAUAGGGGCCCUGAGAGGGGGAUCCCCCACACUGGUACUGAGACACGGACCAGACUCCUACGGGAGGCAGCAGUGAGGAAUAUUGGACAAUGGGCGAGAGCCUGA